CCAAAAAUCAUUCCACAUGAAUCUGCAGAUUUUUUUUUUUUAAUUCUGUGCAGACAAAAAUGUCUGCAGAUUCUGUCUGGCCCUACUAAUAACUCAUUUAAAUCUAAAUCUUUAUUGAUUGAAUGGAGUUAAUAACUAAAACAAUUCAGCUGUAUUUUUGAAUAUAUUUUAACAUAACUAUAAUAUGGUGAUGCAGUGUUUCUCACUGUUAUUUUAUAACACUGAGAUGUUAUUGCAAAGUUAUGUAUUGCACUUUUUCAUCCUUUUGUUUGUUUUCAACAUGUAUUUGCUCUAAACGUGUAUAUACAGUAAAGUGACACAACAAAGUAUAUUUUGUUAUCAUACCUGUAAAGUAAUCUUAGGUCAAUAUAGGGAUAAUACGGUCAUAAAAUAUUAAGCGAUUAGCCCUAACAAGAGAAUCUGAUAUUGGAAAAAGCCUAAUUUUGACUGUUUUUAUUUGCAUUUACAACAUUUUAACUAGUAGGUGUCAGAGCCUGUAGUGUGUACAGCAUUCAGUUUAGUUCAAUUGAUUCAGAGUUUGGGAAAGCUCUGUUCCUUCCAUGUAAAAUGUGGAGCUCUGUUGGUCACCAGGACUGGAGUACUAAAACAGUUACUGCUGUCGAUCCAGUCCAACAGAAGUCAUCUUACAAGAAAAGAAGAAAAAAUUAGGGUAAUUACCAAAUGUUGCAUUCAUUAAUUUGAUUCCAAGUUCAAGAUCUCAUUAAUGUUGUGGUCAGUUAACAAAAACAAAACAUGUACAUUUUAUUCUUAAUCCUCAGAAUUAAGUUCACAUUUCAGAAAUCUGAUUUUCUUUCUCAAAAUCCUCUUUAAAUUUCACAAUUUGUUUUUUCCCCUAAAAAAUAUUCUAUUAUUAUUAUUGCUCUUCUGAGGGGGAAAAUCUGAAUUGAAACAACACAAUUUUACACAAGUUCAGUUGAGUAAAUCUGGAUAUAGUAAAUGCACCAUAAAUUCACUUUAAAUCAGUAAACACACACAAUAACAUGAACUUGUGGUUUUAACUGUGAACAAGCAUGAUGCAUGAUGAAUAUAAAUGAAAAUAAUGAAGUAAAACAUCGACUAGAAACUUACUAGAUACUCACAUACAAGUUGUUUGAGUUUUGCCUGUUUACACAUUCAGCAACAAAGCCUCUUUGGUUAAACGCAUCUGUUUAACAGCAUAAUUUAAAAGAUCAUUUAGCCAAACUGCUAAAACACGUUGCUUUAUACGUCGAAACGCUGCCAUAGAUCACAGAUUUGCUUUCAAAUAUGUUUUAUUCAUUUCUCAGCCCUCUUACCUGCGACUGAACACCACGAGCUCAUGAUCUGAACAACACUGAUUCAUGUCCACAAGAGGGCGCUGACGACCACAUCUUGACUUAUUUGGCACUUGACAUUGAGCUAUUUAAUAACCUACCUAAUAGAUGCAUUAUAAUGUCUUGGUGUCUACAUUUUAAAUUAUACAUAUGUGGAGUGUAAAUGACUUAUCAGACUUUAAAUAAACGAGGCUUUAACGCUGUAACUCGUCCUGUUAGGGACUCUAGUGCAGUUCUCCAUCCGCUCCACCAGGCGGCGCGCACGACUUCCCGUUCAGUCUGACCCAGAGCUUCCGGAUGUUGACAGUGACGUUUGUUUUGGUGCAGCAGCAGCACGAGUGUGCAGUUUUAAACACAUAAACUGAAGAUGACAGCUCAGCGACAGUGUUUUAAUGUCACUUAAACAACAUUUAAUGCAGUCCGACAACUAAAAUAUCCGACACACGCUGAGAUAAAGGACAGGAAUGCAGUGAAAAGCGACUCAUCUAGAAUGAGGGAUGUGUUUGGACCGUACAGUCAACAGAAGCAGAGCUCCGGGACGUUUGGACUACAUUUACUGGCGUGAUGGACGUCUGCUGCGGACAGGAAAAAGCAGCUCAGAAGUGAAGGCGAUGUGAUCAAGGCUAAGCACAGCAGAUCUAAACAUCACACUCUGACAGAUAUUACAGUUAAUAAUUCAGAAUUAUACACAUUUACAGCCUAAAUAUUGCCUGUGCAAGCUCCAGAAACACAGCAGAACAUCAGAGCUUCACAAACUGACUUGUUGACACAUAUUAUGUCUUGUUCUGCUUUAUAAUGAGAGGCUGUUUAACUCUGAGCCUUUACAUAUUAAACAACAACUACCAAUUCAGUUGCUCCUAAAUGUCUGACAGUGACAGAGAGCAGCAUGUAAACAAAGCUGUUUAACAAACAGGAGAGCUCUGCUUAAACAUAUCACUAAAGACACUUCAAUAAGUGCUAAACAUGAACUUAACUGCGACUGAAGUACAAAGAAUAAAGACUUAAUGAGGAAAUGCAGGAGAAAUACUGUACAGUUACUUACAGAUGAGUCGCUUUUCACUGCAUUCCUGUCCUUUAUCUCAGCGUGUGUCGGUUAUUUUAGUUGUCGGACUGCAUUAAAUGUUGUUUAGUGACAUUAAAACACUGUCGCUGA
Molecule: non-coding RNA, 2466 nt
Organism: Danio rerio (zebrafish)
Lineage: Eukaryota; Metazoa; Chordata; Actinopteri; Cypriniformes; Danionidae
Source: RefSeq, a predicted model, not a curated record